Cheilinus undulatus (humphead wrasse) is the source of this 2840-nucleotide long non-coding RNA. RefSeq lists it as uncharacterized. The record is from RefSeq and is a predicted model, not a curated record. The transcript has 3 exons. NCBI's taxonomy places the organism in Eukaryota, Metazoa, Chordata, Actinopteri, Labriformes, Labridae.
AGCUUGUUUUCUGAGUUAGUAAUCACAAACAUUCUUCUGUUUGGACAACACGGUGCAUUUUUCCAUGUUUGUUCACAAAUUCCAGAGGAAGAAGACUUCAGGGCAAACUGUCACAUAAAAGGGGGAAAAUAGCCUAAAAUAGUCCAGUUGUUAAAAGUUAAAAGCUCUCUUUUGAGGAGCCUUAAAUCAGAGCGCUGGUAAGUGGUUGGUGAAAUCCUUCAACUGUAAAUACUAAACCAGACCAGUGCCUCAUCCUCACAUAGAACUGAAUUCUCAGUCGCCCUUAAUCUGUUUUCUGUCCUCUCCCACUAACUCUGCGGGAGGAUAUUGAAUUGUCAAUAACAGAUUUAGAUUGGUGGAUUUUUUUUCUCUCAACUUUGUCUUUGUUUGUUAUUGUCUGGAGCCUGGCAAGGUGACAUGUUGCAGCUUGGAAUUUUGUUUUUCCACAUAUACUGUUGAUUUAUUAGUGGGGAUGCUGAGUAAGCAUCCACACUUUUGAUAUUCGCAUCUGCCAUUUUCUUUGUUCCAUACAUUUUUUGGACCCUAUCUCCUCUUUCACUCUUUGAGCUAUACUCAUCAUUCUAAUAUCAUUCUUUUCAGCUCUUUUAGGAAAUGAUGGCUAUGACUUUUUUCAUUUCUAACUUUUAUCAUUUUAAAAAUAUUUAACUUUUUCUGCAAAAUUUUUCCCAUUCAAAUGAAUGGGGUUUUUCUGAAAAUUUGCACUUUCUUCAACUCCUCAUAACUUUGGCACUCCUUGUGCUAUUUUCACUAUUAUUCUAUCAUACUCUUCAGCUUUUUGUGCUCUUUUCAGCUAUUUUUAAUACUUUUUUAUGUUAUUUAAAAUUUUUCAACUAUUUGGCUCUUUCUAAAACUAAAAUAACAUUAUUUCAGGUGAGCCAGCUUUUCAAGUCCUCUAAAACGCUUUCAAAUUCUAACACUUAUAACUUCAGUUUACUUCCACAUACAGACUUCAUUCUUGCUUUAAAACGUAGACAAACUCUUUGGCUAUUUAGGAAUGAUUCACAUUAUUGAUAUCUUCUAUAGAUUUCUAAUAAUCACUGAUCAAACAUCAUGAAGACUUUGCCUCUCUCAAACUUUUACAAUGGGAGUAAAUCGAGAGGCUUAGAGUGAUAACACCACUGCUAGAGUAAUCCGAAGCUCAGAGUUCCAAACAAGACUUCUGGAACAAACUGCUCUCCUGAGAAAAAUAUUUGGUCUACAGAAAUAAUUUACAUUUUAAAACGUAGCUACACAUCCCCUCUUGCUCACAAAAAAGAUUUGAGGUCAAAAGGACAAACGGUUUUGGCACAGUAUGCUUCAAAGUGGGCCAGCCUGACUUCAGCUGUCCAUCUGCGCUAAUAUUAAAAUUCCUCUAGAGAUUCUGGCUUUCUGGGCUUUCUGAACCACUUUUUCAACUUGCUCUUGAAGCAUGUUUUUUUUCGCUUCCCACACAUAAAAAAACAUAUCACUGCGUUCAGCAACUUUUGCCAGUUCUCACAAUAUCUUUGGUUUUCUGCUAGGUUUCACAACCAAGGCUUAAAUUGACCUUGUUUGAGUGCAUGUUCUGGCCAUUCAACUCAGUUUCCUGAGCUGCCUUUAACAGAAACUUUGACAGGUGUGACUAAUUAGCUUUGAUCUCAGCUGUGACUGAUAAGCUAUGAUGUAAUGCAGGUGCUCAUUACCAUAUCAACCUAGAAGCCCUACACAGACACACAAAUUAAUGCAUCAACACUCCCCUUAAAGGUAGGGUAGGUGAUUUUCCCCAGAAAAGUUUUUUGUCAAAGUUGUUGAAAUAACCUUUACAUCUUGAAAGCAGGUAAUACAUACAGUGCUUUAACAAUCAUUUAAAGUAAAUCUUCUGUAGCUCAAAAAGAUUUCUAGCGGCUCAUCUCAAGGCAUUGGCAGGUUUGCCUGUCACUCAAACACGCUAUAUUUAAACACAAAACUGCACGUGCCCGAAGUUCUACGCAUGACGUAUUCUACUGAACACAGGAAGACAGAGGCAGAGAAAGAGCAAAGUUUACCACUCCAUUUUUUUAAAAGAGGAUGAUAAAGAGCGUUUGGAUAAAGUUGGAGGACAAUGAAAGUCAACACCGGGUCUGCUUUUUGUCAGUGGCUUUGACAGAGAGGGCUGAAUCGCUUUGCCUCCAUCAUCGUAUUUCUACAGGAAAGGUAUGGUAAACGUUUGUUGUCGUUUGUUUUAUUUUUAUGUAAAUUCGUUCUUUUCAUGUAGAGUUCAUACCACAGCCAUCAAUGCACUGGGCUAUCACAGUAUCUAGCUGUCAGCUAAUGACCUGUAUCCGUAUUAGCAUAGCUGUAGCUUGUUUGUUAGCUCAGUGUUAUGUUUUGUUACGGUGCUUUUGCAGAAAUGUACAGUAAACCCUUAUAAACUCUCUCUAGUUAUCUGUGAGCCAAUGUAGUUCAAGGGAAUAUCUAUUUUGUUGCUCUUUACUUGCUGUAAAGGUGAUGUGUUUGAAUGGCUAAAGUUGCUCAUUGUUGUGUUUUCAUAGAGGAGAGGGUGAUGUUUCGGCUCUAUCACUCAGACGGAUGAAGCCGCCAGCCCCCGCUGUUUUGGCCGUUUGUGGGGACGCUCUGACCAUGCAGUCCUGAGGGUUGUCAACCGCUGGGGGGGUGCCACGUAGCUGGAUUAGAAGGCCCUAAGAUCCAGAUCAACAUGUGGAGAUCUUCCUCAACCAACAAGGAGCUUCCAGCUUGUUAGCAGAGGGCUAGGACAGUCCCUACCAAAACAAGAGUUUCUGGAACUGUGCUAUCAUCCAACGUGCACAGCCUGACCUGGCAGUCUACCUCAACCCGUGAUGAUCAGCACUAAAGAAACCUCC